Molecule: ribosomal RNA, 256 nt
Filed under: uncultured bacterium
Lineage: Bacteria
Description: partial 16S ribosomal RNA
Rfam family: Bacterial small subunit ribosomal RNA
Source: RNAcentral
UACGUAGGGCGCAAGCGUUGUCCGGAAUUAUCGGUGGCGUAAAAGAGCUCGUAGGCGGUUUGUCGCGUCUGCUGUGAAAACCCGAGGCUCAACCUCGGGCCUGCAGUGGGUACGGGCAGACUAGAGUGCGGUAGGGGAGAUUGGAAUUCCUGGUGUAGCGGUGGAAUGCGCAGAUAUCAGGAGGAACACCAAUGGCGAAGGCAGAUCUCUGGGCCGUAACUGACGCUGAGGAGCGAAAGCAUGGGGAGCGAACAGG